RNAcentral lists this long non-coding RNA (818 nucleotides) under Cricetulus griseus (Chinese hamster). Its description in RNAcentral is "lncRNA (ENSCGRG00000025109.1)". The record is from RNAcentral. Lineage: Eukaryota; Metazoa; Chordata; Mammalia; Rodentia; Cricetidae.
ACAAAGAUGAAGGCAUCAGUGUACUGAUAGCGUGUGGUUCUUCAGUCUACCUGUUUGCAUACAAAGAUGAAGGCAUCAGUGUACUGAUAGGAUUGGGUAAGGGACACACAAAGGACAGAGGCAAGCAUUUACUGCACACUCAGGUCUUAACCCUCACAAACACCCGUGGGGCUUGUGAUCAGUGUCUUAUGCGGUGAGCCAUCUUGCUCUAAACCUUGGCUUUACACAAGGUCACUGUCUUAGUCCCUUUGUGCUGCUAUAACGAAACACCAUAAGCUAGGUGGCUUACAAACAAGAUGUACUUCUCUCUGCUACAAAGGCCGGAAGCCCAAUAUCAAAAUGCAGGAAGUGAGGCCCCGAAGGACAUAUUCUCACUUCUCUCAUGAUGGAAGGCUGGACUGUGGUCUUUGCAGCUCCUACCAGGACGCAGAUCCUCUUCUGGGGGCCCCGUUCUUACACCACACAACCACCGAAGGACAGACCUCUUAGCUCCAUUCUGUGUCCCCCAGCAAGAGAAAUGCAGGUCCAGCAUCGGUACGGACGCGCAUUCCCUCAGAUACAGCUUCCUCUGCACAUCACCAAAAAGAACCAGAAGUCUGCGGUUCAGGAAGCACAGCCAGGAAUAACCGGAGCGUCCUUGCAGUCAGGUCACACUAUAGCUCUCUUUGAAACCUCUGAAGGUUUUCUCCCCAGGAAAGUGCUCUCAGCAUGUGACCACUGAGAGGGCUCUAUGGAGUUCCAGCCUUCUUUCUUUUCCCCAACAGCAGCAGUAACAAAUGCCAACCCCGAGGGCAGACUCAAACUGGGCUGGUGUCCCA